This 493-nucleotide unclassified non-coding RNA is filed under the name Hevea brasiliensis (rubber tree). The record is from RNAcentral. Lineage: Eukaryota; Viridiplantae; Streptophyta; Magnoliopsida; Malpighiales; Euphorbiaceae.
UAUUUUAGAGCUCUUGCUGCUUCUAAUCGCCCAAAAAAACGGUGGAUUAUUGGCUCGCUAUUAUUCUUGCUGAAGCCUCGUAAAAAAAAAUAUGCAAUUAUAAACCUAUGCUAUAUCACAAAAACUAAAAGACAUGGAGUAAUGCACAACUUCUGGUCCGCACAUGUCAAUCACAUAUCCCUGGGCCAACCAAAUUUCAACAUUCUGAGGAGUAGCUUCAGAAUCAAAUGAAUAUAGUAUGUCUGGACGCCGAUAUGCUCAUUCAAAUGGCUUAGAAAUCUAUUGUUGGAUUGAGACCAGGUAUGUGAAGUCGUCCACUUCCGUUAGAAUCUGCAUUAGCAUAAAAAUGGGACUGUAGCUCCCCUGAGUGCGAUGACUUGCGGGACUUGGGGUUCUUAGGGGAAGCUGAGUAGUCACUGGAACCACUACUCAUAGAAUACAUUGAUGAAGUUGGCAGUCCAUGAAUCUUUGGCAAGCCAGUUGGAUCAGAGCC